This is a long non-coding RNA of Callorhinus ursinus (northern fur seal), 396 nucleotides long. RefSeq lists it as uncharacterized. Lineage: Eukaryota; Metazoa; Chordata; Mammalia; Carnivora; Otariidae. The record is from RefSeq and is a predicted model, not a curated record.
GCUAUUUCUUCUAAGCCUUAAGUUGAACAUCUCUGAAAACUUGACCCAUUUUAGGGACAACUCUGAAACAGAAGGAAGACAGGCUGGUCACCCCCCAUCUUGGGCUAGUUUUCUUCUAUAACAGGAAAUAUUGCCCCUCAUCAGAUGGAUUACAGAAGCGAUUGAUAAUAACCGGUUUGCAUAGUUGUAGUAAGCUCCUUGGAGACUCAAAAAGUAUGGAUUCCUUCACGAAAUUUUGAAUUAGCAGCACCACACAGAUAUUAACAUCCUCAACUUUUCAUAAUAUUCUGACUGGAAGGAGUUGGAGGGAACACAAAAGCUGAGAAGUCUCUUUCUCUAGGUAAGGAAAUUGAGUUACAGAGAGAUCAAAUAACUUGCCUUCUGUCACAUAACAGG